RNAcentral lists this ribosomal RNA (503 nucleotides) under uncultured bacterium. RNAcentral describes it as "bacterial SSU rRNA". It matches the Rfam family "Bacterial small subunit ribosomal RNA", at positions 8 to 507 of the family's 1533-position model. The record is from RNAcentral.
AGAGUUUGAUCCUGGCUCAGAUUGAACGCUGGCGGCAUGCCUUACACAUGCAAGUCGAACGGCAGCGCGGGGCAACCUGGCGGCGAGUGGCGAACGGGUGAGUAAUAUAUCGGAACAUACCCUAGAGUGGGGGAUAACGUAGCGAAAGUUACGCUAAUACCGCAUACGCACUAAGGUGGAAAGUGGGGGAUCUUCGGACCUCAUGCUCAUGGAGUGGCCGAUAUCUGAUUAGCUAGUUGGUGAGGUAAAGGCUCACCAAGGCGACGAUCAGUAGCUGGUUUGAGAGAACGACCAGCCACACUGGAACUGAGACACGGGUCCAGACUCCUACGGGAGGCAGCAGUGGGGAAUUUUGGACAAUGGGGGCAACCCUGAUCCAGCAAUGCCGCGUGAGUGAAGAAGGCCUUCGGGUUGUAAAGCUCUUUUGUCAGGGAAGAAACGGUGAGUUCUAAUAAAGCUUGCUAAUGACGGUACCUGAAGAAUAAGCACCGGCUAACUACGUG